Numida meleagris (helmeted guineafowl) is the source of this 2983-nucleotide long non-coding RNA. RefSeq lists it as uncharacterized. NCBI's taxonomy places the organism in Eukaryota, Metazoa, Chordata, Aves, Galliformes, Numididae. The record is from RefSeq and is a predicted model, not a curated record. The transcript is spliced from 3 exons.
AGCAAUGAGCUGCUACCUUAAUGGCAGAGCUGCAGGGGUGGGCCAGAGCCAGGACAGGUGGCCUGAAUUCAGCAGUUAGGCCUGGUUAUUUCAUGUCACAUGACAUCACGUGGGAUGGCUGUAAGUCUGUGGGUAGCUGGUUAGGGGCUGGCUGGUGCUUGGCUGGGUGUUGGUCAGGAGAUGGUUCUGUCUCACAACUGCUGCUGCUUGACUGAUGAAUGGAGGGACACAGUAGAAACAAACACAGCGUUAAGUCUGUAAAAGCACCUCUGCUGAUUGCUGUGAACCUCCCUUAGCACUCUUCAGUGCAUCCCACCAGGACCAAUGGCUUAUGUACAUCCGGCUUUUGAAGCAUUCCUGAACUUUGAUCCUGGUGCCAGAAGUCACAAAGCUUCCAUCUUUUGCCAUCGUGGGACUUUCCCUGUCUGUCUCUCUCCCUGUACAAGUGAGGAUUGAGGAUGUUAUACCUGCAGGAUCUCAGAGAAGAUCUGGCCAAUCUCUUUUUCCUCUCCUCUGACACUGUACAUGCAUUUUGCCGUCUUCCUCCAGCAGCUCCUCGACUUUGCAAACUCACCACCAGCACUGCCUCCUGCUGCUGAGGACACCCUCUCUCUUCCUCAGCUUUCACAGGAGGCCCCAGGCAUUCCCAGAUGUUUAGACCUGCAUCCUCUGAGCUGAGGCCUCAAAUAUGCUGGCAUCAAGCAGGUGCUGGGAACCAUGCCUUGUAGUAUACCACCACUGCAUCGAAGAAUGUUUGAAUAAAAGCGUAAGCAUCCUUUGGUCAGGAGUAGCUGAUAGGGCUUUCUUGAAGUGACAGGACAGCACCCUGUAGCUGUCCUUUCCUGGCAGCAGAAGAAACCCCUACUUUCUUUAAAGGAUUCACUGGAAUCCCUUAAUGAUUCAUGAAGAUGUUUUGAGAAGAUCUACAAGAUCUAGGAAAAGCCUGGAAACUGCUGCACAAAGUGCUGUGUCUGGUAGCUGCUCUCAAGGUCAUGAGAUGUACUCCUGGGAUGCUGGGGUAAGAAUAGCAUGGGAAAACACACUGACAGCUAGGGGAAAGUAGGAAGGGUGAAGCACAGGAGUUCUCUGCUUCUCGAAGAACAAUGUCUGGGCUGAUCCCUAAAGGGAAGAGGGGUUGUGUUUAUUGCCUUCACUAAUUAGUGACACUGGGAGCUAGCAAGCAGCUACUAUAGGAUGAAGCUUUGAUCUGGACAAAUGUUUCCUUUAGGUUUGGGAAGGUGAGACUCCUUUUUGGUACCCUGAAAAGGAGGAGCAACAGAUGGUGGUCCUGACUUCAUGAAGGAUGGUAAACUGAUCAGUAAUUUAGGACCUUGAGAGCUGUAGUUGGAUUGUGUUUGGGCAGCUGAAUCAAAGAAGAGUUCCUCAGUACUUCUGUGAGACUGUUCAAGUGCUGGAAAAACCACUGGUGAUGUGAUCUGAGCAGCUUCGUGUCUACGUUUCACAUAGGUUAAUCGAAGUCCGUAAACUUCACAUUUGCAUACAAAAAAUUGACCUGGUUUGUGCUCUCAAAAUACCAGUAAACUGAUCUCCGUAUGCUGCAGAGUUUAUCACUUCAGGAACUUACCCUUCAGGGACUCUUAUGUAUCUUUAAGAUAUACAAUUUCCCCUGUAUUUAUUGUGAAACAGUGAACUGAAUAUUUGCUUAAUUUUUAUUUUAAAAUCCUUUGGCUUUCUUGACAUUUCUAGCAGGUGAUUUCUAACUUAUUUUUGUCUCCUCUCUCAUUCAUUCAUAUAAGCACACGCUUUCUACACAUCCUGUUGUGCAGCAUGCACAGAACUGUAAUUAUCAUAUGAAUACCUCAGUUUAUGAAUAGCAUACAUUAUUUAACAUCGAAAUCGUGCCCCACAGUUCUUCUGUGCAUGCAACACAAAAAGAGAUAUUGACUUUGAAGGUUUCAGUAAAAAUGGAAUGUAGAUACCAUUUGUUUAUUUUAAAAUGUCUUUCCAGUAUAGACUAAGUAGUUCCAAAUAUUAAUAAAGGAUAUUUACCUAGAAAAAUUACAAUGUAAGAACUCUAUUGCCUGAAGGACAGUAUUUAAUUAGUAACAAUAGUCCAUAAUGGUUUCAGAAAACGUCUGCUGUCUUCUCUGAGUAUGUAUGGAGCACAAUUGCACUGCCAUUGGUCAAAUUAGGUCUCUUUCUUUGAGGCUUUGUAAAUAUCUAGAUGUUGUCUUUUUCACUGUGCAGCUGACUGAUUUUGAGUGUUUUAUUCCUUCUUUGCAUACCUCUGGUAAAGGCAUAGAUUGAUCCCUGUGAUCCUCUAUAGUACAUUCUGCACUCUGUAUGCCAGCUCUGUUGAAAAGAGUGAAAGCUACACAUCUGUAUCUUUAAAGACAGUAUAAUCCCUAGGCACUGUUUUAAAAUCAAGCAGUAAACAUUCAUCCCAGUUGGAAGCAGAAUGCAUUUAAACUUGUUAAAAAGACUGUUUGCAGAAGUUGGCGGAAUAAGUAUGUAGUAUUUAUUUUAAUUAUUUAUUCUUUCAUUCAUUUCUGAAGCGCUAAUCAACCCUUCCCCUCUCCACAACCACACUCUAAAAAGAGCUCCUGAAAAACAUAAAUUGUUUAGUACAAAGUACUACUGACAAAAGUGGAUCAAUAUUUUUUUUCCUGUUGUUGAGAUUCUAUGAAGAUAAUUCUUUAGUAUCUUACAUAAUGCUGUGACUGUUGCCAGCAUUGAAAACGGUCACAGGUGAGCCUCUAACUUCUUGAUUUCAAAGGACCUUUGCAGAGGUUCCCUUUUUGUGUGAGUACACCUGGCCUAACAAGAUCUGCAAGUGUAAAUUCUGACAACUGUACGUGCAGGUGAUAGCGUUCAAAACAUAUGUGUACAGCUGUUUUUGGGCACACAGACAAAGACUUUCUGGUCUCAAACCUUCAACACUUCAUGCCUUUUAAGAGGAGUACAUAAAUCCCAUGAAAUUGAAGGCCAAAAAGUCAGUCAGAAUGGAAGGCUUAACUUGGGA